GCAUGUGAAAUCAUUAUGACACACGGUCGUCCUAUUUGACACCUGACCAGUGACGUUGUCAUGACGAUGGACAUUCUCUUAUCGGUUCUUGUUCUGGUAGCUGCCAUUGGUACAGCUCAGGGUCAGUGGUUUGGCGACUGGGAUUUCGAUGACAUGUAUGAUGACUGGGAUGACCGUUGGUUUGGCUGGUGGUGACGGAAACAAGAUAGUUGGUACUACUGGAGUCGUUAGCUAACUACGAGACUUCAAAGAUUCCCAGUUCUACUAUCACGUGCUGUCGUAUUCUAAAAUGCUGAAGAAUUGUACUGAUCAUAUAGACUUGUGCUUUCAUUAUAAAAGAAAAAAUAACAAUUAAAUAUUUUAACUUGUUUGAUAAUAUCUGCAUAUGUGUAAUCUGUAGAAAAUGUAUACUUUUGUUUUCACAUUUUAAUAUAAACAGCUAUAUUAUUAAUA
Molecule: long non-coding RNA, 453 nt
Filed under: Gigantopelta aegis
Lineage: Eukaryota; Metazoa; Mollusca; Gastropoda; Neomphalida; Peltospiridae
Description: uncharacterized LOC121382098, transcript variant X3
Source: RNAcentral